UGUGGACAUUCUGCUAGAAGGAAACCCAAACAGUUUUGACAAGAAGAAAUACAAAAAGGAGACACAGAAAUUAAAUCCUGGUUAAAAGAUCAGCCACAAGGAGGCAAACCAAUUCAACUAAACAGCUGGACAUCGCUGCUGAGGACAACGGAGGAGGUCAAACUUAAACCCUAAAGGAGAAAAACUGGAAAGAAUGGAACAGAGACACAGCUUGUGGUGAUCAUCAGCUGAACUGGUCUCUGGGAUGUUGGUGAGAAGGUAGAGAGAUGACGCUUGGUGGGACUAAUAGAUUUAGACCAGUUAGAGGCAGAGGACAGGACUGAUGUGAGGAUUUGAGUUGUGAGAAGCACCGACUGUUAGAAACAGCUUUCAGAUGUGACUUGGUCUAGUUCUAGAUGUUCCUCUGGUUAGUUAGUUUUCAGGCCUAGUUAGAGGGAAAAUAACCCUCUGCAGAAAUAUUCUCCAUAUCAUCUAGGCCUGUCCUGACUGCAGUGGAUCUCUUCUGUGUUUUUUGAAUCCCAUGUUGGACCGAGCCUCUCCAAGCUUUGGGCCAUCAGAAGAUGCUGAUGAGAUCUGCAGCGACCAAACCAGAGGAGGAUCAUCUUAGCUGCUGACCUUCACAAAGAGUGAGAGCAUGUUCAACACCGUGGACGUCCAAAAGCAGAACUCCUGUGAGGAACCGGGACAUCCAGGAUGGUGAGGUGCUUUCCAGUCCCCACCUGAGGAUGGCACAGAGAAAGACUGGAACAGAAAACACACGGAGGAAAGCAGGUUGAACAGCUAGCAGUGUUCUAGCAGUCGGAUCACAUUGGAACAGAAUCCAUCCACAUAUGUUUGGAGGAGCUGAAGAAGAGGAUGGAGCACAGACCACUAAUGAGGAGAAACAUGGCUCCUCUUUUUGUCUCUCCAACAUUCUGGAGUCUAAAAAACGUUGACGACACCACAGCUAAACCAUCAGUCUGCUACACCCAGUAGUAGAAGAUAAGGUGAUCUGCUCCUUGGACCGGCGCCUCUGUGUCUGUCGAACGUCUGCUGUCCUGUUAAAGACUCGCUCAGCCGCAGUAGAUGGGCGCUGACAUGGAGCUGGGUUCUGCUGGAGGUUCCUUCCUGCUUAAAGCUGGUUUUUCUCUCCACUGUCACUUCAUUGCUCAGGAGGAGGCACUGCAGCAACAUUGACGACUGGAUGUGAUUGGCUGAGCUUCCUUGGAUUGAAGACAUGUCUCUGAAUGCCAUGAUAAACUGAAUUUAUCUUCACCAUAUUGUAAAUAGGAUCUAACCAGAUGUUUGUGUUUAGAUUUGAUUCUGUGUUUGUUUUGACUUCUGUUACAUGUUUCUGUAUUAAAAUUGUCAUGUUAAUUGCCUUUAGAUGACAUUGCUGGGACUUAUUUUCUAUUUUUUAAGUUUUUAUUUUAAAACUGAUUUAUAUUAAAUCCCCUACUGGGUCUGGUUCUGUUGACGUAUGCUUCCUGUUGUUCUAUCUUCAUCUGUUAUUUCUCACUAUAAUAAAGGUUUGAUUGCAGUAAUGUGAACAGGAUCUGUUUGUAUUUUCUGGUAAAGUGUCUUGAAAUAAGUUGUAAAUUAAUUC
This is a long non-coding RNA of Cyprinodon variegatus (sheepshead minnow), 1585 nucleotides long. RefSeq lists it as uncharacterized. The transcript is spliced from 5 exons. Lineage: Eukaryota; Metazoa; Chordata; Actinopteri; Cyprinodontiformes; Cyprinodontidae. The record is from RefSeq and is a predicted model, not a curated record.